AGUGAACGCUGGCGGUAGGCCUAACACAUGCAAGUCGAACGGCAGCACAGUAAGAGCUUGCUCUUACGGGUGGCGAGUGGCGGACGGGUGAGGAAUACAUCGGAAUCUACUUUUUCGUGGGGGAUAACGUAGGGAAACUUACGCUAAUACCGCAUACGACCUACGGGUGAAAGCAGGGGAUCUUCGGACCUUGCGCGAUUGAAUGAGCCGAUGUCGGAUUAGCUAGUUGGCGGGGUAAAGGCCCACCAAGGCGACGAUCCGUAGCUGGUCUGAGAGGAUGAUCCGCCACACUGGAACUGAGACACGGUCCAGACUCCUACGGGAGGCAGCGGUGGGAAAUAUUGGACACUGGGCGAAAGCCUGAUCCAGCCAUACCGCGUGGGUGAAGAAGGCCUUCGGGUUGUAAAGCCCUUUUGUUGGGAAAGAAAAGCAGCAGGUUAAUACCCCGCUGUUCUGACGGUACCCAAAGAAUAGGCACCGGCUAACUUCGU
RNAcentral lists this ribosomal RNA (491 nucleotides) under uncultured bacterium. RNAcentral describes it as "partial 16S ribosomal RNA". It matches the Rfam family "Bacterial small subunit ribosomal RNA", at positions 29 to 506 of the family's 1533-position model. The record is from RNAcentral.